UAGGAUUUUACUCAACAUCUACCAGAUGCCAGGGGUUCUAUAUAUCUAAUUCUCUUAGAACUCCUAAUCAUUGGAAAAGCCUUGAAUAAUCAGAUGAGGUUUUGCAAAAGUGGUGUUUUCUGAGAUAAGCCAUGAAAGAUGAACAGGAGUUACUUGAGAUGAGACAUGGGAUGAAGCCCUGGGCAGGUGUUCCAAUAGAGGGAACAGAAUAUUCCCAUAUGGAAAGGAAAAAUGAAACUCACUUGAGAAACUCAGUGCAGCUUGUCUAAAACCACAGGAAGCAGAGAAAGUGUGUAGCUUGGAAAUCUAGGAAGGAGUGGGGGUUGGGUAGGCUAAGGGAUACCAGAGGGCCAGAAUACAGCAUGAAGUCUGAACUUUUUUCUUUUUUCUUUUUUUUCAUUUGUUUAUUUUCUGUUAGAUAUUUUCUUUAUAUACAUUUCAAAUGCUAUCCCCAAAUUUCCCUAUACCCUUCCUCAGCCCUGCUCCCCUACCCAUCCACUCCCGCUUCUUGGCCCUGGCAUUCCACUGUACUAGGGCAUAUAAAGUUUGCAAGACCAAGGGGCCUCUCUUCUCAGUGAUGGCCGACUAGGCCAUCUUCUGCUACGUAUGCAGCUAGGGAAACGAGCUCUGGGGGGGACUGGUUAGUUCAUAUUGCUAUUCCACCUAUAGGGUUGCAGACCCAUUCAUGUGCAAUAAUGUCUGGGUUUGGUGGCUGAUUAUGGGAUGGAUCCCCAGAUGGGUUAGUCUCUGGCUAGUCCAUCCUUUCAUCUUAGCUCCAAACUUUGUCUCUGUAACUCCUUUUGUGGGUGUUUUGUUCCCUAUUCUAAGGAGGAAUGAAGUAUCUACCCAUUGGUCUUCCGUCUUCUUGAUUUUCUUGUGUCUUGCAAAUUGUAUCUUGGUUUGAACUUUUUUUCUGAGAGCAAUUUAGAAGAGCAAGUUUUGGGCAUGUUUAGUUACAGUGUGGUAAAAGUAGGUUAAAUGAGUAAAACAUUGGUAUAAAGACUAAGAUAAAGUGUAUAUUAGUUCCAAAUUUUGAGUAAUUAUCUACACUUCCCCAGCCAUUUAUACAUUUAAUGAAUAUAUUGGCUAAAUGUUGAUCAAAUAUUUUUGUGUUAUUGUCAAUUAACUAUUUCUUAUGGUGUCCUUGUUAUGUGUCAAGUACCUUAGAUAAACAGUGAUCUCCAUUUUUCUCUGAGACAGGACCUGAUAUAGCCAUUCAGGCCUUGAACUUACCACUCCUCUGCUUCCUGAGUUCUAGGAAUAAAGGCACCCACCAGCAUGCCUUUUGAUAGGUGAGGGAACUAAAAUAAGCAGAGCUCACGAGUGCCGACAACAUCACUAGUGAAAGGCCAAGACAGAAUUUGAUCUCAGGUCAGUUUAACAUCCCGACAGAUUUAGCCAUGUCCUUCAAAGAAACAUUUCACACUAAGUUAUGUUAACAUACUCUAAAAUUC
This 1454-nucleotide long non-coding RNA is filed under the name Mus caroli (Ryukyu mouse). RNAcentral's name for it is "predicted gene 42681 (MGP_CAROLIEiJ_G0003417.1)". The record is from RNAcentral. Lineage: Eukaryota; Metazoa; Chordata; Mammalia; Rodentia; Muridae.